This 7645-nucleotide long non-coding RNA is filed under the name Musa acuminata (dwarf banana). Its description in RNAcentral is "long non-coding RNA (MACU_LNC005606)". Lineage: Eukaryota; Viridiplantae; Streptophyta; Magnoliopsida; Zingiberales; Musaceae. The record is from RNAcentral.
CCACUUUUACUAGAAUUUUUUUAUGGGGUGCAUAUCCAUUUCCUGUCAAGUCUGCAUUGUAUAUCUAUGUUUGUGGUUCACAGAAUGAGUGUCAAUUGAUUUCAGAUGCUUAAUGAAUCUAAGUCAAAGUAACAACAGCAAUAAGCCAUAAUUUCUCUGCUGUCAUGAAAGACGAUUUUCAGUUUCGGUUACAAUAACAACAAUAACAACAACAAAGCUGUGAGUCACGACUACUUGGGAUUAACUACAUGGAUCUUUUGCCACUCUUGACAUUUAUAAAAAGUCAAAUAUUUAGUUAACCUUAGAGUACUUAAAUCUUUAUUUAUAAUUUCUAUUAAAAUCUUUUUAGGUCUUUCUCUACCUCUUCUUGUAUCAUUAAUAAUAGUAAUUUCACUUCUUUUGACUACCGUAUCCAGAGGUCUUCUAAGCAUAUGUCUAUAUCAUCUCGGACGAUUUUCUCUCAUUUUAUCCUCUAUUGAAGCGAUAUCUAGUUGUUCACAAAGAAUAGUAUUUUUUUCCUAUCUUUCCUAGUAACUUCACGCAUCCAUCUCAACAAUUUUCAGUUUAUGUUGAAUGUGAAAAAUUAGCAUUGGCAAACUUUUGUUAUAUCAUAAUAUCUGUAAUUUAUUUUUCUUGUUCAACAAUUUAAGAAUGCACUUUUACUGAACUUAUCAAUUAGUCAGGGUGGGCCACUUUUAUUUAACUAGUUAUGGCAUAUGUGCAUUGGCAUUUGAGCUAUGUUGUUGAGUUGCACAAGUGGUAUUCUGAUGACAGUAGCCUAUUCAACCAAACAUGGCCUAUUUCUAAAUGUAGGUUUCCAUAUUUGUGAAAACUGGAUGCAUUGUACAUGCAUAGUUGGAAAAUUGGAAAAAAGAUUAACAAGUCAUGUUGAACAGCCUAGUCCAAGUUAACAGUAUGAGCAGUAACAAUUUGGAUUAUUUCCCCUGCAUUUGAACGUGCUGGGAAACUUGGAUAUAAUGGAAGUAAAAUUUUGGCUUUGUUAUUAUGGGUAUAUGUGUCUAAUUUUGGUUCACAUAUUUAAUUUGUUAACAGUUAUGUGAUGGAUGACUUUGUUAUGCUGCAUGUACCAUAUUGAAGAUGUCUUGGGAAGCCCAACCCAACCAACCAUAUUGAGUGGAGGAAAUUCAUUAUCUGAAUAGCAAAUUUGAAAUUUUAAUAUGCAGUUUUGUGGGAAAAAUCAAGAGCAGAAUGUUUAAUUAAGGGUUCUCAGAAGCCUUUAAGCACAUAUACAUGGUCAAGCAAAUAUAUGAUUAUGGAGACUUCAAGCUUAUACUGUGGCUCAAUCUACACUUCUAAACAUAGAUAACUAUGAUCAGUACUUAAUUACAUUUCUGUUGGUUGUCAAAGUCAAACUAAUUGUCUUCGGUUGCCCAUCCAACCAAGAACAGUAAAUGAAGGAACUUUAGCUCAUGAAAAUCAAAACUUGAUUUAAAAUAUACAAGGAUCAUUUUCAGAGAAGAAUCCUAGUCAAAGUAGGUUUGUCAAGAGAAUGGAUGAUAUCGGGGAGAGUAAAAAUGCAAAAUGGAUUUCGAAAGAACACCGAUAGAACAGUUGUUCAGAUAGAAAAUGUCACAGAAGACAAGGAACGAACUGAUACCGGAAGCACUAACGAAGCAACUUUGAUAAAAACGAAAAGUAGCUCACCACCAAGUUUAAAAUCACAAUGGGAUACAGAAAGUUCACCACCCAACGGAAAUUAAACGAGGAUACAGAACUAGAAAAUAAAAGACUCACCACUCAAGGAUGCAUCCAAGAGAUACAUAGUUUAAGGGGGUUCUCUAAGAGAGCUUCUGCUAAGAUAUCAUUAGUUUCUAAAGUCCUUUCUAAGUCCUAAACCCCAAAAUAAAUACUAGUGCAUGAAACAACCCUUCAUGCAUAGGGAAUUUCGAAAUUAAGUGCUUUACAGCUGCCAACCAACUCCAUUAAUGUAUUUCUUUGUGCAGGGAAUAUGCUGAUGAGUUGUCUUAUCUGAGUAGGCUGAGUUGAAGAUUAUGUGGCAAUAUUAUUGGCUGAAAAAAAUAUCAUAUUAUCAGCAUGGUCUAUAUGAACAGAUUGUAGCAAAUUAGACACUCCCGUGUCAAUCUCCCCUGGUUGAAAAAGACUUGUCCUCAAGUCCUUGUUUGUUUCGUCAUCAUGAUUAUAAAAAGGACUUAAAUCAGUCACAUUAAAUGUUGGGGAUACUCCGUAAUCCUUAGGUAGCUCAAUCUCAUAAGCAUUUUUGCCAAUUCUCUUAAGCACCUUGAAUGGACCAUCAGCCUUUGGUUUUAGUUUUCCAAAUUUGCCCGGCGGAAACCUCUCCUUCCUUAGAUGAAUCCAGACCAAAUCACCUGCAUUAAACUCCACAUGUUUUCUGUGUUUGUUUGCAGCAUGCAUGUACCUCUCAUUUUGUUUAUCAAUGGUUGCUUUCACACCCUUAUGCAACUUCUUUAUCUGCUUAACUCUUUCAUCAGCAUCUCCACUAAAUUGCUUUGUUAUAGAAUGAGGGAUUAAGUCCAAAGGACCAGUAGGAUUAGCACCAUAAACUACCUCAAAAGGACUCUUACCAAUACUAUGAUGCAUAGAACGAUUGUAAGCAAACUCAAUUUGUGGAAGAAUGACAUCCCACUGCUUAANNNNNNNNNNNNNNNNNNNNUGUUGUAGAAUGAGGGAUUAAGUCCAAAGGACCAGUAGGAUUAGCACCAUAAACUACCUCAAAAGGACUCUUACCAAUACUAUGAUGCAUAGAACGAUUGUAGGCAAACUCAAUUUGUGGAAGAAUGACAUCCCACUGCUUAAUAUUCUUGCAAACAUAGCUUCUAAGAAAAUUUUCCAAGCUUCUGUUUGUUACUUCAGUUUGCCCAUCGGUUUGUGGAUGAUGCGAGCUACUGAAAUUCAAAGAAGUACCCAGCUUCCUCCAAAGAGUUCUCCAAAAAUGACUAACAAAUUUUGAAUCUCGAUCAGACACCAUAGUUCUUGGAAUACCAUGCAAUUUAAUAAUCUCCUUAAAAUAUAAAUCAGCAAUAUGAGAUGCAUCAUUUGAUUUAUUGCAUGGAACAAAGUGAGACAUUUUUGAAAAUCUGUCAACAACAACCAUGAUAGAAUCCUUGUUCCUUUGAGUUCUUGGCAGUCCCAAAACGAAAUCAAGACUCACAUCCUCUCAUGGAGCAUUUGGCAUUGACAAUAGAGUGUACAAAUCAGAAUUUUGACUUCUUGUUUUUGCCAAAUGACACAAUCGGCAUUGCUUCACAUGUCUAUCCACAUCUCUGAAUAUUUUAGGCCAGUAAAAAUUUGAUUGAACAAGAGCUAGAGUCUUGUCCCUACCGAAAUGUCCUCCCAAAACACCACUAUGAACUUCAGCUAGAAUUACUUGUCUCAAAGAACAAGAUGGAACACACAAAGCAUUAGCUCGAAAAAGAAAACCAUCAAAGAUAAAAAAUUAUUGAAAGGAACCUGAUUUACAAUUCUGCCAUAUCGAGCCGAAAUCCACAUCAUUCUCAUAUAGAUCUUUGAAUGUUUCAAAUCCAACCACUUUGACUUCCAUUGCUGAUAAUAAAGAAUGCUUUCUGCUUAAUGAGUUAGCAACUAUAUUUUGAACACCAAAUUUGUGCUUGAUUGUAAAGUAAGAUUGUAAAAACUCCACCCAAGCUGCAUGUCUCUUGUUUAGCUUGUGCUCGUGAUUAAUGAACUUUAAUGUCUCAUGAUCAGAAUAUAGAACAAAUGGCUUGGCAAGAAGAUAUUGACUCCAAUGAGACAAAGCUCGAUAAAUCACAUAAAACUCCUUAUCAUAAGUAGAGUAUUUCUUUCUCGUAUCAUUUAGCUUUUUACUAAAAAAUGCAAUAGGCUUUCCGUCUUGGCUCAAAACAGCACCAAUUCCCAUAUUAGAUGCAUCACACUCAACUUGAAACACAUUAUCAAAAUUUGGUAGAACUAAGAUAGGAGCUUCGGUCACCUUUCUUUUCAAAAGCUUAAAAGCAUCAUUAGCUUCACUAGUCCAUUUGAAUUUAUCACAUUUUAGACAUUCGGUGAUUGGAGCAACAAUAGAGUUGAAACCCUUGAUAAAUCUUCUGUAAAACGAAGUUAAGUCAUGGAAACUCCUCAUAUCAUGCAAUGAAGCAGGUGUUGGCCAACUAAGAAUAGCCUCUACCUUAUUUUGAUCCAUCAUGCUUCCAUCUUUUGAAACAACAUACUCCAGAAACACCACACUAGAAGUAAAGAAAUCACACUUCUUUAGAUUAGCAUAAAGUUUUUGAUGUCUCAAAAUAAGAAAGAUCUCUUUCAGAUGAUUCAUAUGCUCUUCUUCGCUCUUGUUGUACACCAAUAUAUCGUCAAAAUAAACUACAACAAAUAUUUCAAUGCAUGGCUUAAGUAUGUGAUUCAUAAAUCUCAUGAAGGUGCUAGGAGCAUUAGAUAGCCCAAAUGGCAUAACCAACGAUUCAUAUAAGCCUUUUCUAGUUUUAAAUGUUGUUUUCCACUCAUCUCUUGGCCUCAUUCUUAUUUGGUGAUAGUCACUCCUCAAAUCAAUUUUUGAGAAAAUAUAGGCACCACACAAUUGAUCAAGUAAAUCAUCUAACCUUGGAAUAGGAAAGCGAUAGUCCACUAUGAUUUUGUUGAUAGUGCGACUGUCCACGCACAUUCUCCAAGAGCCAUCCUUCUUUGGCACCAACAAGGCUGGAACCGCACAAGGACUCAUGCUCUCCCGAAUUAACCAUUUUUUCACCAAUUCAUCAACUUGCCUUUGAAGUUCUUCAUGCUCCUUGGGACUCAUUCUAUAUGCUGCCUUAUUAGGUAGAACAGCCUCCGGAAUAAGAUCAAUGUGAUGCUGGAUAUCUCUCAAGGGUGGAAGGCCAUGUGGAAUCUCUUCUGGUAUAACAUCUUCAAACUCUUCCAAGAUUUGUUUCAUGAUUGCUGGUGUCUCCUUGUGUUGUUCAUUUUCCUCUACUACUACUAGAGCCAUAACAUUACCUCCUUUGUCUAAUUCAUCUUUACAUUCACCAUAGGACAUAAAAGCGCUAACUUUCUUCUUUGGUGCACUGAUUUCGGAUGGUUAUAAUGGAGCUAAAAUAAUCUUCUUUUCAUUCACCUUAAAAGAAUAAGUAUGUUUGUAGACGUCAUACAACACCCUUCUAUCAUAAUGCCAAGGUCUUCCCAACAGCAAAUGACAAGCAUCCAUAGGAGCAACAUCACACCAUACUUUAUCUUUAUAAUACUUGCCAAUAGAAAAUAAAACUAAACAUCUUUUAGUUACAUUGAUGUCAUUUCCUUUUUGCAGCCAACAUAACUAGUAUGGAUGUGGAUGAGGGAUGGUAUCCAACUUUAGCUUCUGCACCAUCUCCAAAGAUACCACAUUCUCAAAGCUGUCGCUGUCGAUGAUCCCCAAGCACACUUUGCCAAGAGAAGUGCAUUUAGUGUGAAACACAUUUUUUCUCACCCAACUUUCAUCGUCGGCCACAUAUGACACUUGUAAACUACGUUGCAAUACAAUAGACAAACCAUGAUCAGUAUAAGUAAUCUCUUCCUCAUCAUCAUCGUAUUUUGGUUCAUCCCUAGCUUCAUCUUCUACUCCAUCACUAUGAUCUUCAACCAAAGUUACAAUCCUCCUAUUUGGACAAUCUAAAGUAAUAUGCCCAAAACCAUGACAUUUGAAGCAUUUUCGGCCACUUGGGGUAGAAGAAUUAGGUGUUUUUUUGCUGCCAGCAUAUUCUUCACCCUUUUCUUGCACCUUCGAUAUCACCUUGCUUUGGACAGUAGGCUUGGAACUUCCUCCUUUUGUAUAUCCUUCUUUUGAGUUGUACCGAAAACUCUUUUCAAACUUCUGUUGCUUUUCAACUUUUAAUGCCAGCUUGCUCACAUCAUUUAAAGACCAAUAUGACUGUAGCUGAACAACUUUAGCAAUCUCAUACUUCAUACGUCCUAAGUAUCUUGCAAUUGUUUGCUCUUUCGGUUCCACAAGCUCUCCUUUUAACAUCAAAUUAUCGAAUUCUGCAGUGUACUCCUCCACACUAAGAUAUUUUUGCUUGAAAUCAUAUAUUUUGAGAAAGAUCUUUUGCCUAUAAUUAUGAGGUAAAUAUUUUCUCUUCAGCUCCCUUUUCAUUUUCUCCCAUGUAACGAUCUUACUCUUCCCCUCACGUUCUCUUUGUUUCUUCAGAUUUUCCCACCAAAAAGAUGCAUUCCGCCUAAGUUUGAGUGCCACAAGUUUGACCUUCUUUUGUUCUGGUGGUUCAUGAAAAUCGAAAAUUCUUUCUACUGUAUUAAGCCAAUCGAUAAAGUCAUCAACAUUUAUUUUACCUUCAAAUUCUGGAAUAUCUAAUCUGGGGUUAUAUUUAUUCUGCCACUCGUCUUGGACUCCAUUUCUUAUCCGACAUCUUCUCGACUCCCUUGGAAGAUGAGGUGUAUCAUCAUCAGAAGUAAACUCUGGAAUGUCAUUUUCUUGCUGGUUUUGUCUACUUUGAAGUUCGUCGAUUAUUUCAUUUUUUUCUUGUAGGCUACGUAGCAAUUUUCGUAGCUGCAGCCUCAACGACUUAGCGUCAACUUCAUGGUCGCUACCUUCACCAACUACAUCUUUUCCAUUCUGCCUUGCCAUGAUCUCUAGUAUUUAGCUCUGAUACCAAACUGAUAUCGGGGAGAGUAAAAAUGCAGAAUGGAUUUCGAAAAAAUACCGAUAGAACAGUUGUUCAGAUAGAAAAUGUCACAGAAGACAAGGAACGGACUGAUAUCGGAAGCACUAACGAAGCAACUUUGAUAAAAACGAAAAGUAGCUCACCACCAAGUUUAAAAUCACAAUGGGAUACAGAAAGUUCACCACCCAACGGAAAUUAAACGAGGAUACAAAACUAGAAAAUAAAAGACUCACCACUCAAGGACGCAUCCAAGAGAUACAGAGUUUAAGGGGCUUCUCUAAGAGAGCUUCUGCCUAGAUAUCAUUAGUUUCUAAAGUUAUUUCUAAGCCCUAAACCCCAAAAUAAAUACUAGUGCAUGAAAUAACCCUUCAUGCAUAGGAAAUUUCGAAAUUAAGUGCUUUACAACUGCCAACCAACUCCAUUAAUGUAUUCCUUAGCCAUGAAGAAAAGCACCAUGAUACAGCUUUACAGCUGCCAACCAACUCCAUUAAUGUAUUUCUUUGUGCAGGGAAUAUGCUGAUGAGCUGUCUUAUCUGAGUAGGCUGAGUUGAAGAUUAUGUGGCAAUAUUAUUGGCUGAAAAAAAUAUCAUAUUAUCAGCAUGGUCCAUAUGAACAGAUUGUAACAAAUUAGACACUCCCGUGUCAAUGGAACUGAGCACCUUUCUUAAAUUGGUUCCAUUGAAAGGAGAGAAAGGAGUCAAGGAGCUGCCUUUUGUUCUUGGGCUGAGCCUUUUGGUCAGAUUUAAUUUGCUCAAGCACUGGAUGGUCUUUGAAUACUGUGGGAUUAGCAUUUUUUGUCAUAAUAUAGGGAAAUCUCACCAUUUCAUUAGAAAUGUAGUUGAAAAAUUAAAAUGUCAUGCAAAAUAAGAAAUAUGUUCUCGUUAUACCAGAUAAUAGUUAGGUUGUACUUACUUUUUCUUCAAAAAGCUUCUGUUCCACUUAAUAUUGGUUUAUAACUGUCCUAGCAGUAAUUGUAUAGUUACCAGUAUUUUAAAGGCCAAAGGAAACAUGUAUAUAUUAUUUUUGCC